Molecule: ribosomal RNA, 533 nt
Filed under: uncultured bacterium
Lineage: Bacteria
Description: bacterial SSU rRNA
Rfam family: Bacterial small subunit ribosomal RNA
Source: RNAcentral
CUGCAGUGAGGAAUAUUGCGCAAUGGGGGCAACCCUGACGCAGCAACGCCGCGUGGGUGAAGAAGGCCUUCGGGUUGUAAAACCCUUUUCUGGGGGGAAGAGCGAGGACGGUACCCCAGGAAUAAGUCCCGGCUAACUACGUGCCAGCAGCCGCGGUAAAACGUAGGGGGCAAGCGUUAUCCGGAUUUACUGGGCGUAAAGCGCGUGCAGGCGGCUUGGUAGGUUGGACGUGAAAGCUCCUGGCUCAACUGGGAGAGGCCGUUCAAUACCGCCGGGCUUGAGGGCGGAAGAGGGGAGUGGAAUUCCCGGUGUAGUGGUGGAAUGCGUAGAGAUCGGGAGGAACACCUGUGGCGAAGGCGGCUCCCUGGUCCGCACCUGACGCUCAAGCGCGAAAGCGUGGGGAGCGAACGGGAUUAGAUACCCCGGUAGUCCACGCUGUAAACGAUGGAUGCUAGGUGUGGGUGGUAUUGACCCCAUCCGUGCCGUAGCUAACGCGUUAAGCAUCCCGCCUGGGGACUACGGCCGCAAGGCUA